AUGAGGCCAACUUAUGCCAUCCCUCUCUGUUCAAACACUCAGCUCCUGACCCAUCAUGGCAUGACAGCCUUCUUCCCUUUUAAUAUAUCUCGGAACUUAUGUACUUAUGAAGACAGCUGUGUAGGUAAGAUGUGCCCUCAGUGGUGUUCACAAGACAGGAGAGGCACAGAUGGAAGAAAAUCUAAGGACCAUUGCAGACCACUCUCCAGAGGGGGCUCCUGCGUAAAGACAGUCUGCCCACCGCAAGACGUCAGCUUUUACACACACUCCCCAUUGACGACCAGCUCCCCAGAGGCCAAGCCCCUGGACUCUGGAAAACUGCAUGCGCCAUCCCCCCGCCAGGUGCUGCGUGCUCAGACUUCUACCUCUGCAGAACCCCAAGGCUGUGUGAACCCGAAGUUUCAUAAUAAUGAAUAAUGAUAAUGUGGGCUUCGUGCCAGCUGAGUACACUGAAGGUGACCCUGACAUUUGGAAGGCAGAAUCCUUUCCCUGCUACCAGGUGAGACAAUUCGGACUGAAGAGUCAGCUGUGACCCGUAAGUCAUCGCUUUUGGAUGGGCACCUCCUGGGGGAUCCACCUAUUCCCAACUUGAACCGCAUCUCUGGCCCUGGAAGUGCCACUAGCAAGAUGCUGCUGGGCUCGGCCAGGGCUUCAGCACCCUCUUGUGGCCAUUCUCUCUAAUGACAAGCCAGAGACCUGCCUCCUGCCUCCUGAACAGAGUUCCUGGAUGGAGGGCACUGGGCUUGUGCACCCAAUAGUCAGUUUAAUCCCUCCUCUCACCCUAAGAACCACCAAGUGUAUUCCAGGAGGGUUAUUUUUCUCUCCAAAUCAGCCCUGGCCCUCACUCCUCCCAAACAUUCCUCACUCCUCUAAGUCACUGAGACGAACCCAGUACAAAACCAGGUGACCAGACCUCAGUGGAUCAGCCUCCCAUCUCCACUUCUGGGACUUGGUAUGAGGUAAUAUUUUCUGCCUCAGGGGUGAACCUGAGGAGGGGAGAGGCUGAGAUGGAAGGAAAAGAAGAAACUUUUCAGAGAACCUUCAAGAGAUGAGUCUUGGAGUUCCUGUCAUGGCUCAGUGGCUAACGAAUCCGACUAGGAACCAUGAGGUUGCAGGUUCGAUUCCUGGCCUUGCUCAGUGGGUUAAGGAUCCGGUGUUGCCGUGAGCUGUGGUGUAGGUUGCAGAUGCAGCUCAGAUCCUGUGUUGCGGUGGCUCUGGCAUAGGCCUGUGGCUACAGCUCCGAUUGGACCCCUAGCCUGGGAACCUCCAUAUGCUGUGAGAAGUGGCAAAAGACAAAAAAAAAAAAAGAGAGAGAGAGAGAGAUGAGUCUCUGGGACAGACACAGCAUGCGGGGAGAGCAAGGAACCACUGCUUUUGCACUUUCCAUUCACGACCCCUCACCAGCUGUCCAGGGGAC
RNAcentral lists this long non-coding RNA (1417 nucleotides) under Sus scrofa (pig). RNAcentral's name for it is "lncRNA (ENSSSCG00025068069.1)". The record is from RNAcentral. Lineage: Eukaryota; Metazoa; Chordata; Mammalia; Artiodactyla; Suidae.